Long non-coding RNA from Medicago truncatula (barrel medic), 3044 nucleotides. RefSeq lists it as uncharacterized. The record is from RefSeq and is a predicted model, not a curated record. Lineage: Eukaryota; Viridiplantae; Streptophyta; Magnoliopsida; Fabales; Fabaceae. The transcript is spliced from 2 exons.
AACUUAUGGUUUUCUUUUUCCUUUCCGUACCGCGUUUGUUUCAUAUAAGGGUUUUGUAGUUGUAGAUUCUAGUUUGUUCAUGUGUUUACUAGAGUUUCUAAAUUACUACGUGCUUCUCAUUUUGUCUGUGUGUGUGUGUGUGUAUGUUUUAAGAUUUCCUUGUCAAUGGGAUCUCUGAGCUGAUUUUUACUCAUUGCAUUGUUAAACUUAGUUUUUUCAAUUGUUUCAUUUUUGUUAAUUUGUUGCUUAUACGUGUAUAGAAAUAGUUGAUUGCCAAAAUAAGUAUAUACAACAGUAUCAUAAUUUUGACAAUUGAUGAUAACUGUCAUAAUUUUGGCCCAAUGGAAUAAGUUUUUAUCUUUUGGCAUGAUCAUUGUCUAAAUUUGGUUCUGUAAAUUUUGGUAGUAAGCUUCUUAUUUUAGUGUCAUUUAUGAGCUGAUUUUUGACAUGUUCUGCGCCCUUUUAGUGUAUGUGUGUGUAACUUUAGGUUGGAGAUCAUGUGAGGGGGAAGCGUGUGGCAUGUUUUUUGAAAUUGUAAUAGACGGGAAAAGGGUAAAGUCAGGGAUUAGAAAAGUAAUUGGGAUUGGAAAAGAGGGAGAAGAGAAUAAAUUUGAGAAUAUUGGAUUCCAACUUGUGAAAAUUUCUUCUUCAGAAAACAUGAAAAUUAGGCAACCAUAUGGAUUAGGGAUUAGAAGAGAAGAGGGGAACAGGGAAGGUUGGGAAUCAGAAGAAGGAAAAUUUUUCUGCAAACCCUUACUCUCUAUGUGAAAGUGAAAUACAGUUUGAGGGUGGGAGAGACAGUGAGAAUGGGCGAGGAGUGGUACACAUAGGAUAUUUUGUGUAUGUGGCAGAAAUAAGAUUAUGUGUCAAGUAGACAAUUUGAGGGUCUAAAUUAUAAGGGUUUCCUACCGCGUAAGCUAUUUAUAAGGGUUUUGUAGUUGUAGAUUCUAGUUUGUUCUUGUGUUUACUAGAGAUUCUAGUAUGAUCAUCCUGGAGAUGAUUUAAGGCAUCUGUUGAUGUUGUCCAAAGAAUUGUAUUCUGUAUCUUUUCAAAUCCCUAUCUCGCCAUACAUUAUUGCUCCGAUGUUUCCGGAUCUGCCUCAGAUUGUGCAAAGGUUUCACAACAUUGUGUGUUUAAAAUUCAGCAACGUUUUGGGUGACCUGGACCAGACUCUGACACUUCUAGCACAAGAACCUAGUCAAAAUCUACAAUAGCUGAGGUCUUUGGUUCUUUCUGACCGACCCACCAUCCCUAGAGCGGGGUUGAUGGCUUUUGGGAAUUCGAUUCCAUUUCUCACUUCACUAGUGUGCUCUAAUGUUGGUAGUAUGUCUAGACAAGACAUCAGUGCAAUAAGUCGGUCAUUUCAGAUGCUUGAAGUCCUUGAUUUAGGUCACCCUAAUCUCUUCGUUGAUGGUGCUCAUCCCAACACCGCUAAGGCUUUGAUCAAUCUCUCCCUCUCUACACCGAGGAUGAGAGAAAUCAAUCUCUCCUCGCAUUCCUACAUCAGUGAUAAUCUGUUUCACAAUUUACUCUACAAUUGGAGACACAACUUAGAAGAAGUCUUCAUUUGUAAUUGCCCCAACAUCACACAUGGGAUAAUCUUUAACUCAUUUUCUUUCCCUGAUGCACCACCUAGGGUGAAGUCUUUGGUUUUAUCCGACACCGGUCUCUCCCAACCAAAUAUUCCGCAGCCAUAUUUUUUGAAUUCUCUAACUACGAUAAAGCUCUUUUCGUGCAAUAUUUCGAAUCAGUUCCUCUCAUCUAUCAAGGUACUCCCGUUGCACACACUUUUGCUUGGGAUACACUUAUCAUGGUUUGUCCGACUUCUUAUCUCGGCGGCGUCAAAUCCGCCAUUUGGACCUUUCCGGUGCUCCCUGGUAUAUCCAUGACGAACAGAUUGAGACUUUAGCUGAUUUAGUUACUGAUAUCAUUUCUAUUAACCUCACUUCUUGUUCUAAACUCACCGAUUAUGCUGUUUACAUACUCAUCACCACUUGCCGUUCUUUGUCCGAGUUAUAUAUGGGUGAUACUAAAGUUGGCGAAGGCAGUGAAACUUUCCCAGAACAAUUGCUCCUCUGUCCUGACAACAACACUCGUCUCCAAUCUUUAAGUUUAUCUCAUCAAAAAUUUUUAAAUGGAGAAGUAAUGCUCAUCAGGAUUGCAUCCAUUUUCAGAAAUUUACACCAUCUUGAUCUGAGUAGGUGCACUGGUAUAUCAGAUCAAGUUAUUGGGGAUGUUUUACGUUUGUGCAGGGAGAUAAGGAGGUUGGAUAUCUCAAAUACUAGCAUAACAUCAUUUCAUAUUGGGUUUGUAGUUCUGAAACUACAACAGUUGAAUAUAUCGGGCACUGCUUUUAAUGAUGAAGCCCUCAUGUUCAUAUCGGAUUGCUGCCCUGCCCUCAAAGUAGUCUUGCUUAAUGCGUGUAAUUCGAUAUCUGAUGUUGGAGUUAUUUAUCUGGUGAAAAGCUGUACCAAACUUCAAAAGAUUGGGCUGAAUAAUUGUGAUAGCUUAUCUCGUUUUCUGGUGGACAUUAUCAUAACUGAAAGACCAACACUGCAUGGCAUCGGGACCCCCAUCAGUUUUGCACUUUCCGAUGAAGUGAAGGUUCGGUACUCCAAUCUAGGAUACCGGCUGGUCUAAUGGACAUAAUGCUGGAUCUCAAGGGUUCAACCCAGACUUGAUUGUUCUCCUCGUUAUUGGUGGGUUGCUGUUGACAUUUCUCAUUGGAAAUUAUGCGGUCUACGUCUAUGCACAGAAGGCCCUCCCUCCCAGAAAAAAGAAGCCAGUCUCAAAAAAGAAGAUGAAAAAGGAGAGGCUGAAGCAAGGAGUCUCUGCACCUGGAGAGUAGAGGCACUGUACUCAAAUGUUCUGUUGAAUGUGGAUUACCUUGUACUUUUUCAAGAAUUCUGGUUCUGUGGUGUCUUGAGUUAACUUUCAUGUUUCCAUCAAGUGUUUUAUUGACAGAAAGUUUAGCUAUAUUAAUUAGUACUUUAGCAAUAUAUUUGAGACAGGUUAUUUGGCAGUUUAGUUAAUCAUUUUUCUUA